Molecule: long non-coding RNA, 394 nt
Filed under: Monodelphis domestica (gray short-tailed opossum)
Lineage: Eukaryota; Metazoa; Chordata; Mammalia; Didelphimorphia; Didelphidae
Description: lncRNA (ENSMODG00000033472.2)
Source: RNAcentral
GUCCAGAGAACCUUCAGCUUGGAUCUUCAGCUUGGACCUUGACUUUUGGACUGCUUCUUGGAGGACUGCUACUGGAUCUUUUCCUCUGGAGGUCGGUGUUGGAGGAUUUCACUUUGGGACUUGGCCUUCAGUCUUCUCCUUUAGAGUUUGUUCCUUUGGAGUUUGUCUUGGGUGGUCAUGGAAGAUGGGUCCCCUGCUGAACUCUUCAGAAGUCAACCAUUCACCCCAACACCCCUUCUCUGGUGCAUUUUACUUCAUAUGCUCUGGGAUAAUCAAGAUUACAAGAAGAAAAUGUUAUGUAAUUGCAGCUUAUAAUAUCUUAGAUAAGAAACCUUUGAUUUGAUAUGAAUAGUUUCAGAAAGUAAUAAAUCUAACAAUAAGAUUUUAUAAAGCA